UUCCGGUUGAUCCUGCCGGACCUGACUGCUAUCGGAUUGAUACUAAGCCAUGCGAGUCAUUGUAGCAAUACAAGGCAGACGGCUCAGUAACGCGUAGUCAACCUAACCUAUGGACGGGAAUAACCUCGGGAAACUGAGAAUAAUGCCCGAUAGAACACUAUACCUGGAAUGGUUUGUGUUCCAAAUGAUUUAUCGCCGUAGGAUGGGACUGCGGCCUAUCAGUUUGUUGGUGAGGUAAUGGCCCACCAAGACUAUUACAGGUACGGGCUCUGAGAGGAGUAGCCCGGAGAUGGGUACUGAGACACGGACCCAGGCCCUAUGGGGCGCAGCAGGCGAGAAAACUUUGCAAUGUGCGAAAAGCACGACAAGGUUAAUCCGAGUGAUUUGUGCUAAACGAAUCUUUUGUUAGUCCUAGAACCACUACCGAAUAAGGGGUGGGCAAGUUCUGGUGUCAGCCGCC
This 460-nucleotide ribosomal RNA is filed under the name uncultured archaeon. RNAcentral's name for it is "bacterial SSU rRNA". It matches the Rfam family "Archaeal small subunit ribosomal RNA", at positions 1 to 466 of the family's 1478-position model. The record is from RNAcentral.